RNAcentral lists this transfer RNA (73 nucleotides) under Caloramator mitchellensis. It matches the Rfam family "tRNA". Rfam says of the family: Transfer RNA (tRNA) molecules are approximately 80 nucleotides in length. Their secondary structure includes four short double-helical elements and three loops (D, anti-codon, and T loops). Further hydrogen bonds mediate the characteristic L-shaped molecular structure. tRNAs have two regions of fundamental functional importance: the anti-codon, which is responsible for specific mRNA codon recognition, and the 3' end, to which the tRNAs corresponding amino acid is attached (by aminoacyl-tRNA synthetases). tRNAs cope with the degeneracy of the genetic code in two manners: having more than one tRNA (with a specific anti-codon) for a particular amino acid; and 'wobble' base-pairing, i.e. permitting non-standard base-pairing at the 3rd anti-codon position. The record is from Rfam by way of RNAcentral. Lineage: Bacteria; Bacillati; Bacillota; Clostridia; Eubacteriales; Clostridiaceae.
GGACCAUUAGCUCAGUUGGUAGAGCACCUGACUCUUAAUCAGGGUGUCCUGGGUUCGAGUCCCCGAUGGUCCA